Molecule: ribosomal RNA, 172 nt
Filed under: uncultured Geobacillus sp.
Lineage: Bacteria; Bacillati; Bacillota; Bacilli; Caryophanales; Anoxybacillaceae
Description: partial 16S ribosomal RNA
Rfam family: Bacterial small subunit ribosomal RNA
Source: RNAcentral
GGGCUACACACGUGCUACAAUGGGCGGUACAAAGGGCUGCGAACCCGCGAGGGGGAGCGAAUCCCAAAAAGCCGCUCUCAGUUCGGACUGCAGGCUGCAACUCGCCUGCAUGAAGCCGGAAUCGCUAGUAAUCGCGGAUCAGCAUGCCGCGGUGAAUACGUUCCCGGGCCUU